RNAcentral lists this long non-coding RNA (477 nucleotides) under Polistes fuscatus (common paper wasp). Its description in RNAcentral is "uncharacterized LOC122515855". The record is from RNAcentral. Lineage: Eukaryota; Metazoa; Arthropoda; Insecta; Hymenoptera; Vespidae.
GGGGGAUAGAACGGAGGAGGGUGAAGGGGGAGGGGAGGUGGUAGAAGGAGGUGACAGGAAGGUGCGGCAGAACGCGAUCGGUAAUGUGAUCUCGAGGAAAAGGGUGUAGAAGAAAGGACUGGUAUCUAUCUAUUCCUCUUGUCAGACGUUGCAUCGGUUAGCAGCAAACGAAACGUACGUUGCAUACAUGCAUGCAUACAUACAUAGAGAUACGUACAUAAGUAUAUAUAUAUAUAUAUAUAUAUAUACGUUGAUACGUAAUACGUCGCGUACGAGUUCUCGCAUAUUAGUCAGAAGAGCCGCAAGAACGUGUCAGUCGACUCAUGAGUAUUUACAUCUACGUUCUCUUUUCGUAAUGGGUCCAUGUAGUCCACUGAAAUAGGCCCAGACACCCUAAAUUGGGAAUAGGGAGGGGGAAAUUGAUCUAAGGAUAAAAAGCUAAUAAAACUGACAAAGAUUAUUCCUGGCAUAAGAAAA